RNAcentral lists this unclassified non-coding RNA (214 nucleotides) under Hevea brasiliensis (rubber tree). Lineage: Eukaryota; Viridiplantae; Streptophyta; Magnoliopsida; Malpighiales; Euphorbiaceae. The record is from RNAcentral.
GUUUCAUUCGUCCUUCUCGUGGAGCUACCUCUGCUAGGUUUGGCUCUGCUUUGAACAUUGAAACACUUGUAGCUGCUGCUGAGAGAAGGGAAACACCGAUAGAGGGUCCAGCAUCUGAGAUUCAGGAUAAAAUAUCGUUCAUCAUUAACAAUAUUUCAGCUGCAAAUGUUGAAGCUAAAGCAAAAGAAUUUACUGAAAUAUUGAAAGAGCAGUA